Rattus norvegicus (Norway rat) is the source of this 20935-nucleotide non-coding RNA. The record is from RefSeq and is a predicted model, not a curated record. Lineage: Eukaryota; Metazoa; Chordata; Mammalia; Rodentia; Muridae.
GGAAAGAGGAGGAGUAAAGACUGUUUACCAACGAAGUACACAAGCAGUCCAGUCGAAGAUCCAGGAAUUGGGGGUCCCUAGUUUUAAAUCGUGAGGUGUACUGAUUCUCUGGGAUCGGCCCCAAGACUUCAGCCUAGGUCUACCUAGGCAAUAACCUCUCAAAGACUGGAGCCAUUCUAGUGUCUAAGCCCAGGUUUGAGGCUGUGAUGACUCAACGCGGCAUCGCCUCCCCUUGCUAAACUGUGGUCUCCGCCUACCCUCAAUCAAUCUCAAGGAAGUACUUUGGGCGCCAGGAUUCUCAGCACUUAGCUGGUGGGUGAAGGGGUUCACCCUCUUCCCCAUAUCCCACCUUCCCUCCUCCCAGUCUUCCGGAGUGCGGAACUCCUGCCGGGAUCCAAGAGCAGGCUCUUGGUAGUCGAAGAAGGAUAUAACCUCCAGACCCGGAAUUUAAGACGCAAGAACCAGCCAGCAAAUGUGGCAGCCGAGCAUGCGAAUAUCAAGCCUCUGUUGGAUGUAGGGUUGGUGAAGAGCUUUUCCAAUUCUGUAAGCUGCCAUUUUGGGAAGGUGAUGGCUGCUGAAGAAGUAACCGGUUUUUUAUUUGGAGUCUGUGAAACUUGAGAUUCUACUGAAAAGGAGAGGCUCAUGGAGAUGGGAAGCCAAGAAAAUGGCUUCCUUUAUCUGUCUGUCCUGCCUGUGCUUAGGAGUUGUGCCUUGCUGUUCCUGCUAAUUCUACACAAACCUCUUCAACAACGUGCUGUUGCUCAGUCUCUUCUACUCUUUGGAUGUAGAACUCUUGGCUCCAGCAUCAUGUCUGGCUACAUGCUACCACCAUGACAAUGAACCAACCCUCUCAACCUGUAAGCCAGCCCCAAUGAAAUGUUUUCCCUUAUAAGAGUUACCGUGGUCAUGGUGUCUCUUCACAGCAAUAAAACCCAAAGUAAGGCAUUUACAGUUUGUUUUGGUUUCCUUUUUGCUUAUUUUGAUUUAUUAUUUUAUUUUAAUCUUUAGAGUCUGGUUCUCCUUUAGCUCAAGCUACUUUCUAACUCAGUACAAAGCUGAGAGUGACUUCCAACCCCCCCCACCCCCGACUUCAGAAUGCUAGGAUUCCAGGCAUUCGUCAUCAGCCUAACUUACUCAUUACUUGGAACUGAACUCAGGGUUUUGUGCAUGUUAGGCUAGCAUUCUACCAACUGAGUUAUAGCCCUAGCCCUCGUUUUCCCAUUUUCAAAAUAAAGGAUUGGUAAAAAAAAAAAAAAAGAAAGAAAAAGAAAAACAAAUGAAUACUUUAGGCUGAGCUCAUCCAAAACAAUGUAUAGCAUACCAUCUCUAAUCCACCAAUCACGUCUUCAUCAAGUACAUCACUACACCUGUAAGAAAUGCAUAGUUUUGAUCAGGGCUCCUGAUGUAUUUCUAAUCUCCACUAGAUUGGUAAGAGUUAAGCUGUUGACCUGUGAUUGGCACCUCUAGGUGAGUUGUACCAUCAGAUUGUCAGGAAAGAAGACCCAACCUCUUUAGCUCCUAAAGGAUUGGCAGUGGGAGUGAGGGAUGAAGCCCCUGUGUGUUCUCCAGGACUAGAAACUAUAGACAUACUUAGUCCAAAGCAAAACAACAUAAAGUCAGUCUGUUACAUGGAACCACAUGAAAGUCUGAUUUUUGUAGGUCAAAAUGGUUGACUGGUGGCACCAUUAUAGGAUCCAUACUAAUGCUUAGCUAGCAUGUCAGCUGCCUUUAAUGGAAAGGAAGUAUCUUUAUUUAUUACAUGCAUUAAAUGAUUGGCAUUAAUGAUUUUUCACCAUCUUUUUUGCCAUCUGAACCUUAAACAAAUUUUAAACUAUAAACAAAAUGAUGAACAUUUAUUUUGUAUGAAGUCCUCAAAAACACAACAAUAUUUUCUUGUUCGGGUUUUUCAAAGCAAAGUUUGAGCGCUGAGAUGUGGCUAACACAGUUUUUAAAAUAUCGCUUUAUUUUACCUUUUUAAUUUCCCUGUAGAGUUUACAACCAUCCCUGGUGGAGCUGGCCCAUGAGAAGCUAAGUAUCUGUCUUAAUGAUCAAAAAAGGGCACAGGGGCAGGAGUGGGAGGAGUGGGCUCUUUCCCUCUUCUAUGUCCACCUCAGGGCAAUGUAUCUGGGCUAGGAUUCCAAGGAAAACUACAAACCCAAUUUCUAUCGUUAGAAAGUGAGUAAAGUAGGUACAGAAGCUGUCUUGAUGAGAGAGAGAGAGGCAGGGGGAUGGGAGUGUAAAGGAGGAGGAGUGGAUGGAAGUGAAAGAAGAUAAACUCUGAGAAGUGAAGAGCUGAGCCAUCCAAAGGAGGGCACCAGAGAGAAGUCACAAGGAGAGUAAGGGAGAAGGGAGGGCCUAGCUUCCAGGCAAGAGUCACACACAGGUCACUUGGAUAGGAGGAGAGUAGAUGCUUCUUGUUUUUAAAUUAUGAUUUAUUCUUUCUAUCCCUCCAGAAGAACUUAGCGCGACUAGGAAAGAAAGGGGCAGGAACAUUCCAGAACUGCUUUCAGAGAAAAUGUUUAAUUUCUACUUUUUAUUCUGCCCCCAGUGAUACAUAACAACUCAGAUAAAUUUUAAUUUGAAAACAAAAUGGAAGGAGGGGAGGAAAGCAGAAAGGCAGGCAGGCAGGAAGCAAGGAAGGAAGGGAGGAAGGGAGGCCAGCUAGCCAUGUUUUUCUCCCUCACAGCUUCUCCAGUCAUUCUGGGGACUCGUGCAUCUGUUAAUUCUAAUCCUUCUGGAAAGGAACACAAACAGGACAUUUCCUGGAAAUGUUGUUUGACAUGUGGAUUAGGCAAUGUUGACAACUAGAGCAGUCUGUCAGAUACUUCCUCAAAACUGGGCCACCUGGAGAAAUGCCCCCCACCCCCAGUCAUCUCACAUCCUGCCCCUGGUCUCACCCCUGUAUCUGUGUCUCAGCUCCUGGCAUAUGUAGACCUGUCACACUUUUUAGUAAAAGGACAACAGAAAGAGAGGACUCCCAUGUCACUUCUCAGGCCACUUCCUUCUUUACAUGACACUGCAGUAAACAAUUCCCAGGACAGUGAGCUUCUGUAAUGAUUCCAGUAAACAAAAACAAUAAAUAAGCAAGCAAUCCUGUCUCCAGAUCUUGUUAUCAGGCCCCUUCUCGUAGAACCACUGUCUUCCCUCCAGAAGCAAUGUUGAAGGCCAAAGAUAAGGAUAUUACUUGCACACAUGCCAGAUCACUGGCAGUUUGUGUUUUCAAACCGCCAAAAAAAAUGUGAAAAGGAAGUGUGUUGAAUUUAGCUUCCUCAGAAUUGGAUUCAACUGGAUGUCAGACUUCAGUGAGGGACUUGUAAAAGCUGCAUUCGCCCUGGCAUCUGCAGUCAGAGCAGAGAGACAGCUGUGAAAAGCAUCGUCCAGCCAAAACGUGAUUUCAAAAAGGUCAUUUUAUCACAUGAUUUAUUUAUAUUGUUUCUCCAUGGUACAAAGUGUUCUGAUUCAUAUGCAGAAUCCAGAGAGGGAGGAUUUAAAAAAAAACGAAAGAAAAAGAAAAAGAAAAAAAAGAAGCAAAACCUAAGGGCCAUGACUCAGGAGCCCUGCAGAGGCCAAGGAAAUGGAUUUACUGCAUUUUGAAGGCUUUUUGAAGCCUUCCACUCAAAGCAGGUUUUUUGGCAUCAAUCAAAUUAAAAAAGGAAGCCAUAUCAUGCUAAGAUUGAUCUUUUCCCAUACCUUCUGAGGCUUCCUCAGUAAGAAACAUGAUUAGAGGUGGGCCUGCCUCGAUGCUAGUCAGCAAGAACAAUGGAGAUAGUCUUUUUCAUUCAGAAGAGAAAACCAAGGGUCAACUUACCAAAUUUCUAAUGCUUUAUCUUCUUUGCAUGAUGUGCACCAACUCAAAGGGUUUGAGUUUUCUCCCCUGUCUUUUCUUUCCUAAAGAGCCCUUGUCAAUCAUUCUAAGCAGACCUGGAGGAUCUACUGUGGAAGGCUGGGUGUCUUUUUCAAGUAGGAGCGGAUGGCAGAGCUUGUUCAUAGUCCCUUGCCUCUGUCGUUGCUUCCUAAAAACAGGACUGGGGCUUUUAAUACCACGUUUACAAUGUUGACAGGUAGAAUUUAUUGGAUAAAUAUUUCUUUGGCCAUAUAUAUUAUUUAACCUCUCUCUGAUGUGAAGCCCAAGCUAAAUGUUCUGAAGUUGUUUUGUUUUUUGUUUGUCUUUCUGCUAAAUCCCUAUUCCAGGUCAUUUUUUCUUAGUUGGCCUUAGAGUUGGAAGUCAGAUAUUUGAAAAUGUCUUCUGAGCAUUACCAAUACUCAAAGAAAAGAAGAGUCAAAGCUAUUGAGAAAGAAAAGAAUGUAACAUUGCUUGCCAUGGUCUCACUCAAUCCAAACCAGGGCUAAGCAUUUUUUCUUUUAUUUGUCAUCAUCAUCACCACCACCACCACCACCACCACCACCACCACCACCACCACCACCACCACCAUCAUCAUCAUCACCACCAUCAUCAUCACCACCAUCAUCAUCAUCAUCAUCACCAUCUUGCCUUAACAAACAUUUCAGCACCACCUUGCUAAUUGCAAAUUAUGGGAAAAUGUAGAUUCUCUCACAAUGUCUUCAGAAGUGGCUCACUCGGAAAGGCAUGAAGUACAGAUCAUAUUCUGUGAUAAUAUCUGUGGAUAUGUUUGACUGAUUUGUUUUUUGGUUGCUAAAAUCUGACAUUUCACAAAAAUUUGACUUGAGAUUAAUUUACGACUUGAAGUUCCUGAAUACCAACAGUAUUGCCCAGUCAGUUUCCAGGGACUCGGUCAUUUCUCUGCAGUGUCCCUUAAGGAAGCAUUGUUUAAACUGAGAUAGCAUUUUUCUCCUAAAGUUGAAAAAAUUAAAAGUCAAGUUUCAAUACUAUGUGAGAGAAUUCUACAACAUGCUGAGUUUUAUGUCCCUUCACAAACAUGCCAUUCUCGACAGGGCUGGUUUUGGAAGGGCGUGUCUCUGAUCAUUGGCAUGUGACAUUAACCUUUCUGGAGAAGCACUGGACUUGGAUAUUAAAGAGGUAUCUCAAUUAAGUCCAGUUUGCUUUUCUUUGCCUGGGGCAGAGAAAAAGACUCUUAAGUCAUGAGAAGACUCGUUCAGAAUUAGGAAGACCAUCUGAGUCAUUAGAAUAGAAAUAAGAAGGUAGGACCAGAAAAGUAGAAAAAUCACCCGAAACUUCGAAUAAGGCAAAGAGAAUACCAUGAGGCUCUUCAAAUUCAUGUCAAGUUUUCUAACCUAGACCUCAAACACGUAAAAAACCAACAGUGUAAUAGUCUCGUAUUUGGACUCCUGUAUAUUUGCAUACUGUGUAAAACAAAUGAGAGUGUCAAAACCCAGGGCAGAACCAGGGAGCUUCGAGCUGGCUACUUCAUUAGCCAGGCCAGCUUUAAUUGAGCUGCUCAAUGUCGCUCAGUAACUAAGUCAAGCUGGAGCAAGUCCAAAGCCAAUGUCUUCCUUUUAUGGAUAGUGAGGCUUCUCAGCUACAGUCUGAGCAUUCUUUGCCAAUUAAUUAGAAUCCUAUUAGCAUGGUAUCCCACUAACUAAUGGAUGCAUAAAAUAAUAACACGGUACAUAUGCCCAUCAUUUUAAAGUCUAGAAAUGAACUCUCACUCGUCUCAACUCCUUAACCUUAAAGACAGAAUAUUGUCAUCUUCAUUUUACAAAUAAUUUCUUUACUCUCUAAAACUCAAAGCUUACACUGGAACUCAAGACUGUUGAUUUGAACAAUGGGAUUAACACACCUAGAGUUUAAUCUAUGGGUCGAUCUUGUUCUUGCUAGAUGAGUGAUCUUGGGUGAAGCAUCUAAACUUUUCUCAGGGGAACGAACACAGGACUAACUCUGUGUGAUGAGCAUUAAAGCGUGCUUUUGUUGACAGUUCUAACAUGUUGGCUGGGUCAUAGUAAUUACUCAAUAAACUGUUCAUUAUAACCCAAGAGCCAUGUUCCUGAACAAGAGCAAUAAACGAAUCAUUUAGUUCCAUUGUCUUGGUUGGGGGGAAUGACAGCCAUUGUGGUUUUAUGGUAUCGUUGAUACAUAUCUCCAGGAGUCUUCCAUUUAAAGUGAGUGGGGCUUAAAAAUAUUGAAGAGAAAAAAUUUCAAGGCUGUUUGAAUGCAGUCACGAUUCCUGCUUUAACUUUCUUUCCUUCUCUGGGACUUCUUGUGACUUCCACCAAAGUUUACUUAACCUUUCAGGAAAGUCCUCGACAUAUUAGAGCCAUGUGAAAGAGGAGGAUUAAAGAAACCAGCAUCACAGGUUGCCAGGCCUGGAAAAUGGAUUUCAAACUUGGAAUCCUUAAGCUUUAGGUCCCAUCCAGAGACAGCAAAUCUGGGGCAGAACAACAAGCAGAUAAACGUUGAGGCAAGCCAGGGCAAACAUAAUCGUUGGGAGUCCAUGCUGAAGACGCAUUGAAAAGAGACAGGGACAGCUCUGUGCAGGGAAGAGUGCGGAGGCCGAGGAGUCAGCAAGGAGGAGCCCUGCAUUCAAUAAGGGCAAAGCCCCUGUAAGAACUGGGAACACAGACCAGGGACAGGUCUACUCUAAAUGAGGUAUGCCAGGGCCUCUAAAGGGGUGUUCUUUCCAUGACCCCACUCUCUCCCCUCUUCUCUUUCUGAAACAACCCCACUAGACAAAUAGUGCUGUACCACCCACAGCCCCUUUACCACAAAGAAUAUACAUUUUUCUUUUUUCCUUCCCUCUUUUUCUUAUUAGAUGAGCUUAUUCUCUGUAUGAAGAGACUUUUAGGAAUUUCGCUGGUAAACAAUUAAAUCCAAGAACCUUCCUAUCCUGGGAUCACCUUAGCUGAAACUUACUCGGAGGGUGAAUAACACUACAAGUCCAGCCUUGAAGAACAGUUCAUCUCCUAAUGUCCUUGAUGGAGGAACGGGAUGAGUACCACCAUAUUCAAGGUCUUUCCUGUGACAUUUACUCCUCACCUCCUAAGGACAGCAUGUUAGUUCCCUCUGUCCCCAGCCGGGCCUGCACCCACCCUGCCUGCAGUGGUGCCCCAGCACUGCAUACUCUUUCCCCAGAGAGGCCUCAGUGUGAUCUGAACGCUGGGCACGAGCCCCACUAGCAGCCAUCUAUAAAUAGACCAGUCUCUUCCCAAUUUUUUUCAUCAAAAAAAAUGUAGAUUGAUAGAAGGAAAUAUAGGAGAAAAAAAAUAAGCCUAUUUAAAAAAAAUACCCCUGACCAACUCUGUUUCUCUGCUGUGGUUAUGAAUGACUGACUAGAACUGAUUUGGGGAGGAAAGGGCUUGUUUGGCUUACAGCUUAGAGUCUAUGAUCUGAGGAAGCCGUGGAAGGAACCCGGAAGUAGGAAUAGAAGCAGAGACCAUAGACAAAUGUUGCUUUCUGGCUUGCUUUCCUUGGCUCAUGCUCAGCCGACAUUCUUAUACAAUCCCGGCCUAUUUGCCCACGGGUGGCAAGGGCCCACACUGGGCUGGGCCCCCCCUACGUCAAUUAGCAAUCAAGAAACCCCCCCACAGACAUGCCCUCAGGCCAGUCCUGGGGAGGCAGUUCCUCAUCUAGGUUCCCUCUACCCAGAUGUGUUUAGGUUUGUGUCAAGUUGACAAAACUAAUUAUGACAAUCCCCAAGCUGGGAAAUAAAGCAAACAUAUUACCCUGAGCCCUUUCAAAGUCACACGAAGUGUUCUGGCUAGUUCACACAAAGGUCAUUUGAUGUUCAGUCGAGGAUUUGACCAUACAGUAGAGUGGUCACUAAUCCCACAUGGCUCUUCAAAAUUAAAUACUAAUCAAACAGAAUUAAAUGAAAUUAAAACUUUAGUCCCCUGGUCACUCACACACAAAGCUCAGGGGCUGUAUGAAGCUGGUCAGUGGCUAUCCUAAUAGCCAGAUGAGACUGAAUAUUUCCUUCAUUGCAUAAAAUGUGUUCAGACGGUUUCUCUAAGGGGAAGUAAAGUUGCCCUAAACUUGACUGCUACCCAGAGCCCAGACCAUAAAGUUGGAUGGUUGUCUGAUCUUACCUUGAAAAUAAUUUUUAUUCAGGAAAAGGACAAGUCUUUAAGAUGCCAGUUAAUUGUCCUGAAAUCAAUCAACUUUGGAUCAAAAUUCACAAUUUUGUUCUGAAAUUUUAGGAAAAUUUCAUUUAUUCACUCUGUGAUAAUUUCAUAUAUAUACACAUAUAUAUAUAUAUGUACAUACACACAUAUCUUUUUCAUAUACAUCUCUUUUUUCCCAAUAGGUGCCCCUUUUUAUUUUUAAAUAACCUAUUAGGUUUGAUUAGGGUUGUGUAUUGUGUAUGGAUGUGCAUGGUUAUAGCGUUACUAGGAAAUGGACAGCUAACCUGUAGAUAAAAUCAGUGAAGAAAAAGGAUUCUCCUUCCUGUAAAAGGUAUCAAUGGCUAAUAGUUCCUCAACCAGGGAUGGGGCUUUGUGAGCCCACCCCUUUACCAUGUCUAGCAUUUUAAUGAACUAUGUAUAAUUCACCUUUAAACCGUGUUGAUCAUCCUCCUGUGUUCCUUGCUAUGGAGUUAAUAUUAGAUGUGUGUUUACUAUCUAUGGAGGGUAUUGUGUGUGUCAAAGUAUACUCUGACAAAGAAAUUAAAUAGUUAUACUCAGUAGGGACAAGAUUUAAACAGAGUUAGCAUUGAAACUCUGGGCAGAUUACUCUACCAGCCAAAUACUCAGCUUUCCUACCAAGUCAGCAUUAGCAAUAAACCUUGAAGACUGGGUCAGAGUCCAUAAAGCUAUAGCCGGACAAUGCAAGAAGUUAGAGAUGACACAUAAAAAAGUGAGAGUGAUGGGAAGUUUUCUCAUUUCAUUUGCAUAUUUGCAGCUUGAUUUUUUUAAGACAUAAAGACCUACACAACUGAAACUAAAACCAAAGCUGCAUAUAUCCAUAGGAAUUUUUAUGUCAUUGUUUUGAAGACUUUGGUAGCAUAUGGGCGGAGGUUAAAGUCAAUAUUCUACCACAUACAAGCUGUGCAGUCUUAGGCCAUCUAUCCAAUAUCCUUGAACAUCAGAUUUCCCAUCUAUGUAAUGAUAGUGAGAACAGUUAUAUGUAGGGAUGUUACAGUGAUGAAAUUAGAUCAUGGCAGUGAAUGCUAACUGUGUCACUUGUCACAUUAGAGAGCCACCAAGACCAUGGAAGAAGGUGAUAUUUAUUGCCUCCAAUCUGAUCUUGCAAGCCAUGACUUUUUUCAUGUUUGUUUAUCUCAUUCUGAUUUGAACACCUUUUCCUUUGAAUUCUCCUUACAGAGAAGUGCCAUCUUCAUCCUGACUUUGUUUGUUCUUGAUAAGCUCAGUGUGUCAUCAGAAAUGCUCAUUGUCUGUGACAGGUGUCACAGCAUGAGUUCGGUGUCCCUGAAAACUAACAGAACAUCAAAAGCUUUUCAAACUAGCUUGGCAUAGGACAGAAGUAGAUCAGAUAAAAUCCAUGUGACACAGGAAGCAUAUGCAAGCCACUGUCCCAGCACCAGGACUGCAAACAUACUCAAAUUACUAUCCCCCUAAGCUUGGGUAAAGGUCAGAGAAAAACACAAAUUUCAAGAGAAAAUGCAAGAUGUUGGGGGCAGGUGUGAGGAGGAGUUCUUUUCUUUCCCGAGCUCUAUCACUUCCACAUAAACAAGAGUGUCAAAACCUGAAGCAGCCUGGAGAGUGCCUCUAGGAGCCAGGAACUAGUCCCCCGGGACACUGGCCCCCAGAAACCAACAUCUUUCUGAUGAGCAGCACAUAGCAGGAGGCUAUAUGAGAAUAUUGUUAUGUAUAUGUCUCUGGACUCUAAGCAAAGAAUUAGGAGAGGAGAAGGAUACUGUGACUCUUUUGAAACAAGUAUGAACUCAGUAGCCUAAUGAAAGCCAAGAGGAUACAGGCACUCAAAUAAAUCUAGUUGUGUUUCUCUCCAUCAUUUGAGUAAUUUCUCCCUAUGGGUGUGUGUGUGAGGGGGGACUCUAAUAUCUAUAUGAUAAGGUAUUCUCCUGGGAAAUCACUUCUUCCAUGUAUGUCUGGGUGAUCAUAUUAGUCUAUCAAAGGACACUGACUUACCUUGAAUGAUCCUUAAUGAAUGAACUGCUAACCAUGCCAGGAGUACAAAAUUCUUUUGAUGGUUAAUUUUGAUCAAGUGGCCAUCCUUGGAAUUAAUCAAACACAUAUGAAACACAAGGACUAAUUGCAAGAAUGAAGAAGGUACUAGGUAGGGAGGCAAAUGCACAUAGUUCCCAAGGUAAUCGAUAUGCAUGCCCACGUAAAAUCUUGGACCCAAAUGUUGACAGUAAUAUUAAGCACCGUAUCUCAAAGGUGCCCAAAAUUCUGAAUCUAUCACCCAAUGAAAAAGUAAGCAGACUGAAAUCACACUACAAGAGGCUGUUUGCCCAGAAAGAGUGAAAGACUAUAUUUAUAACACAAAUACAUCCUAAAGAUAACAUGCUAUGUGAAAGAAGCCAGUUGUGAAAGUUUGCAUAACCCCACUUACAUGAAAUUCUACAGUAGGCAAAGCCAUAGGGCCCAGAUGUUAGUAGUUCCCAGGGGAUGAGAGGGGAGGGCUCUAGCAGUCAUGGGCUUUCAAUUGGGAGCGAUGACAGCAAUCUGGAAUCCCAUAGUGGCAAUGCUUGCUAAUUUCAAACAUCCCAAAAAUGUGCAGAAUCUGUAACGAAAAGGGGUGAAGCUUAUGCCAUGCUAUAUGUCUGUAAAAGGAAAGCUCAUCAUCACUUCAAUACUGACAUGUUUGCAAGGCCAAAUGCUACUUGGCUGUCACUGCCACUAGAAACAGCAGUAGUUAAUGACAAGUUCAUAGCUAUUAGUAAACAAAGAAAGUGUCCACAUUUACCCAGGGCCAUUCAUAGAAAAUAUUUUAUAAAGGUAGAGUAAUGAGCAAGGUGAAUAGGCCCAUAUGAAAUUAUCGUACAGAAGCCCACCGUUUUGGAUAGCUAAUAUACACUAUUAAAAAUAUCUACAAAAAGAAAGUUUAAUAUUUCUAUUUAAGAAUUCUUUCCUUUGGAGAUUCCCAAGCUUUGGCUCUAAGUACUCUGUCAGUGGUUCCUGCCUCACGGUUCAUGACUUUAGUGGACUUUUCCAGCCUCCAGUUCUGAGAUUGUACCUUGCAAGGCUUAGUAUAGGAUAUCAGAAAACUUAGGAAAAAGCACACAGGGAUUGUAAUCGAUCCAUUUGCUCUUGAGUCAUCAUGAAGACACCAUUCCUACUACUCUUAAGGCUCUCUCGGGAAAAGCCAGCAGACUCACUUUUUGGAAUCCUGGCAGUUAAGUGAUUAUAUUGAAAGUUGUUCAUUAAGGGAGGUGUGGGAGUGGUUUAGGAAACAGGAGAAUUAGGAAGAUGCCCAGAGACUAACAAGCUCAGAAUUCCUGACGGCCCCUUGGGCUGAAGAUCCACAGAAGGGUGUAUUGGUAAAGGAUUACAGGACUUGUGGGACCAGAAAAGCCUGCAACCUCUCCCUUCCCUAUGGCUUUCUGGCUAAUGUCUAGCUCUUUAAACCCAACUUGAAGUUAGUUAAUCCCAGAGCAUCAAGAAUGCAGUUUACAAGGGUGGUUCCCCUAGGGCAGAGAGAGUUUUCCAGAGGAAGAGGAUAAGAAAGAAACAAAUUUUUAAAAUACAAAAUCAUAAAUACUAAGACUUCUUUUGCCUCUUUGCUGUUGAUGGUUGAAAUCCUUGUAGCCUUCUGUCCCUAGAUUUGGCGACCUGUUUCCCCUCAAUAGCAAAUGCUGCCCUUAGGACUACAGUCUAAACAAGUUAGAGGACAUGCAGAGACAACUUGUGCUACUUAAUUUCAAAGAAGCAACUCUUUGAACAGCGUUAAAAUCUGUUUCUCAUAGAAGGCAAAUUAGUUAAUUUCAAAUGUGCUUUGUGAAUAUCAACAGACCACCCAAAUGUUUACUUAUUUUUAAGUUGUCCUCCUAGUGGGUUUUAGGGGUGGGGAGUGGGGGAUCUCAUUGCUUUGAGGAAAAAGGAGGGUGUUUUCCUGCAUAUAAAUUGUCGACAUGAGGCCCAGCUCCAUAUUAAAAUAUUAAUGACUCAUUUAGUGAAGAAGAAAAAUGUAGCUACCAUAGAAAACCCCCAGGGAAACAUUUGUUUCCACAAACCUACAGCAAAGGGCCAAUCGAAUGCCCAGAGCAGCGCUUACUCAACCUUUCUUCCUGUACACAGCAGAACACUGUGGGAAGAAAAGAAAGCAACCGCUCUAUUGUUGAACUGUAUCUCCUAGCUUACAGGUCAGCACACAUGAGGGCUGCGGGACCAGAAAUUCAUAUACACCAUUCUAGAGCAGAACAAAAAACAUCCUCUAGCUCUUUAAGGAAGUGCAAACACUGGAAAUGGUCUGGGUUGGAAGGUCUGUGGAGCAGGAGCCCCUGAGGUGGUAUCUAACUGGGACUGGCUUUCUGAGGCCUCCUUCUUCCAUCCCCAGUAACUUUCUGGAAAUAGAACAAUCAUUGUCUAAAGUCAACUCACAGUGGUCUACCAGGGGUAAAGUCUAUUGUUUUGCCAACUGGAAUGUUUUGGAUUGUAAAGAGCAGAGAGAGAAAGACAUAUCCUGGGGACCCAAGGGGAUGAAUGUCCAAAGAGCAUGUUUUUAUUUGCUAGAAAACCACCACCUGGGCCAUCUGAUACAAGCCACACCAGGGAUUUGAAUUGCUAUAUUUAUAAAACUGUCCUCACACUUCCUCAGGCUCUGUGGAUUUAGAGCAGUGGCCUUGAAGCAUUGUCUUUUUGGUGUGAAUAAAUUGGAGGAUUUCUGUGUAGCUGUUUUGAGAGGGUGGGGUUCUGCUAAGACAUUGAGUAGUCUCAAGUCCUUGGGAAGACUCCUUCACUAAAGCUGAGCAGGACAGCUCUUCCCUGCCUGGUUCCCAAGCUCUGAGACUCAGCCACAGGUCCAUGAGGUCCCUAAGCUCCUUUGUUCUCUAAGACUUAGCUAUCAAGUAUACAUGUCUUUGAGAAAAGAUAAUCUUAGAAUUCUUAAAACCCUUAGAAGUUCACGAGACAGUAGAAGUUGCAAGGGCAUUUCUAUAGCUUGAAAAGAGCAUAUUGUAAGCUGUUUCGAACACUAUGUGAAUCAGUACAGUGGUUCCACCAAAAAAAACCAAAAAACAAAAAACAAAAAACAAAAAAACAAAAAAACUAAAAAUACAGCUACCAUAUGAUCCAGCUCUUUUGUUCAAGGGCAUAUAUACAAUGAAAUCUAAUAAAGCAUCACAAAGAUGCUCACACAGAAAUGUUUAGGGAAGCCCUAGUCAUAACAGCCAAGAUGUAGAAUCAGUCUAGAUGCCUAUCAGCAUAUGAGUAGAUUUUUUAAAAAAAAAAAAAAAGGUGAUGCACACAGUGGUAGAAAGAAGACUUUGGGGAUACGGGAGGGAAAUGAAGAGAGAGCACUGAUAACAGAAAGGAAAACAAUAUUACGUGAUCUCUCAUAUGCAGAACCCUGAGUUACAAUGCAUAUUUCUAUAUGUGUGUGUUUAUGUGUGUACAUGACAUGAAAGCAAUGGGGAUACUAUUCGAGUGGAGGAAAGGGACUAGGCAGAAGCGGAGAGGUAGAAAGGAUUGUUCUGGAGACAAACAAGAGCAAAGUGCACUAAACAGAGCGAAAUGCACUGAAACACCCACAAGGGAAUGCCAUCAAGAAACUCAUACUUCAUGCACUUACUAAAAGUAGUUUAAAAAACUUUAAAACGCCAUUGUUGGAAGGGUGCCAACAUAUGUAGCAGAUGUGCAACUUGGUCUUCACGUGGGUCCCGAACAACUGGAGUGGGAACUGUCCCAAAAGCUGUUACCUGUGCAUAGGAUACGUUCUUCUAGCUGGACUGUGCCUUGGGGGGGCAGGGACCCAAGGGGGUCCUCCACCCUCUCAUAGGAGAAGGGAAGGGAGAACAGGGGAUGGAUUAUGGGAGGAGAUGCCUAGGAGGAAGUGAGAGGGAUGUAAAGUAAAUAGAAAGGAAAGAAAGAAAGAGAGAGAGAGAGGGAGGGAGGGAGGGAGGGAGGGAGGAAGGAAGGGAGAGAGAAAGAAAGGAAAAGAAAGGAAGAAAGGAAGGAAAGAAGGAAGGAAGGAGGGAAGGAAGGAAGGGUGACAAAACUAUUCAAACACACUUGAUUUUCUAAAGGAUUAUCAGUAUAGCCUAAAGCUUCUUUUGGAGGAGACAAGUUUAAAUUCCUAGAAACGCCACUGAAGCUGUGCGGCUUUUGGCAAUGCUCAUCCUCAGUUGUAGCAUCAGGUCAAAUGAGCCUUACUAUUCCAUUAACUUUGCUGUGUUUUACCUACAGCAGUUACUCCAUACACACACAUACAUAUAUUUAUACCUACAAACAUGGUGCUUCAGAUGUAGUAGGUAUUCAGUAAGUGGAGCAUGAGGAUGGUAAGGACAACUCGAACUUCUUGCAGACAGAUAAACAGGAAAGAGCAUCUGAAUGUGUGCAAAGGAGGGAAAGAUAAGGAAAGGGCAGAUGAUAUAACUGUUCAGUGACAGCUGGCUCUCUCUCUUUCCCUACUUGUGUCCCAUGCUGAGAAGAGGGAGGCUGGGUGAAGAGAGCUUCAGCUUUUGGGUUAGAGCUGGCUGAUGAAGGAAGAGGUGAGAGAUACAUGGGAAACUCUAAACAGAUGCAGCUGCCUGGUUCCUCAGGUCUGUCCCUGAGAGAAUAUUGACUCGGCUCUAAGGAAAGCAUUUUGUUUGGCAGAUUCUGACUCUUUUCAUGCAUCUGAAUUUUUUGUGCAUCUGAAUGCUGACACUUCCUUUCUCCAGCUAACUGCUUUGUAACUAAUCACACAGCCUUAUAGACAGUACUGGCUGGGGCUUCUCACAUGACUAAAAUUUAACCUGAGCAGGGCUUGUCUCACACAAUGCUAUAUCACAUCAUGUAAUGAUGAGAUGAGACAAUAGGAAUGGAAGAGAGUUUGAGAGAGAACAAAAGAGUGGUGGACUGGGGGUGGGGGCGAUGGGUGUGAGUUUUCGUACAGUGACGUACAAUUCCAUUCCUUAUUUGGAGCCAAUGGUUUGCAGGGAAAGAAACAAGGUGUGUGUGUGUGUGUGUGUGUGUGUGUGUGUGUGUGUGUGUGUAUGUGUGUGUGUGUGUUUAAGUUAUUAAAUUCAUCUCAGAGGAACAAUGUAUUUUUAGAUCCACCUCAUGACCUGAUUUUCUGUAGUGAUUUCAUUCCCUAAGCCAUCCCUGUUGAUCAUAGGCUACCCUGAGGUCAAGGAGAGAGGAGGAAUAAGUGGAGAAAUGUGGUUGCCAGCAGCUAUUAGAAACCAUACUCUUCCAAUCUCAGAGAAGACCAUGUUGCCUGGGCUCCAGCUCAGCACUCUGUGGCUGCCUCCUCUAGUUGGACUUUGUCUGAAAAGGAGUUUAGAAAUAGCUCGGUCAGAAAAGUGCUUUGUAAGCAUGAGAACUUGAGCGUGACAACCCCCAGCCCCUGCCACCAUGCACACAUACCUGAAGCAACAUGAAAAAGCUUGGUAGAGAAGCCUGUGCCAGUAAUACCAUGACUAGUGCAGGCAGAAGCAGGUAGACAGAUCCAUGCAAUUCACCGUUCAGUCAUCCUAACCUUCAUGGUGAGUUCCAGGACAGUGAGAGACCUUGACUCAAAAAUAUAGAAAGUGAAGGUGGAUGGCUUUUGAGGGAAGACAUAUGAAGGAAUACUUAGCCUCCAAAUGCACCCCUAAGCAUACAAGUGCACAUACACAUGCAUAAACACACACACAGUCUCUCACAUGCACACACACACACACACACACUCACAUGCUCACGUGCACACAGUUUACAUGCUUCAGCUCUGAGAAGGGAGACAAAGUGGUCAUCUACCUCUUACCAAAUUCUUGGCAAAGCUCUUUUAAGAUCUACCUUCAAGACUAGCGAUAAAGUGCUUAGCAUGUGAGAGUAUGGUGACCUGAUUUGGGAUCCGCAGAACUUACCUAAAAAGCUAAGCGUCUAUCAUUCCCUUGCAUGGUGUGGGGGGAGCGGCUCCCGGCUAAGCCAAUUUGUGAGCUCCAGAUUCACUGAGAGACCCUUUCUCAAAGAGUAAGAUGAAACAUAAUAGACACAAUUUCUGAGCCUCCAGAUAUUCACACACAGGCUCCACCCUCAGUAAAUAAAAAUACUGAAGUGUAACUAUCAAGCAAAUAGGAUCCAUCAGAAACCCCUCCCAACCCAGUGCAGUUCCUAUCCCCUUCUUACCUAUUAGAUUUUUCUCAAAUACUGUAGAAGUCCUUUCAGGCUUGUCUAGUCCUACAAAGUCUCUCCAUGGCAAGAUCAGCCUCUACCUCUCUAGCUCCCACAUGCUCUGUAUGUCCAAAACCCAGCAACUUUCCAGUCAACAGCUCUUGUCUUAUCUCCUGCUUUUAAGUUAGUAAAACUUUCUAUCUUUCCUCCCACUCAAGAUCAUGUAAUUACAAAACUGAGUGCAACAUUUUCCUAGAAUUUGUCUACCCAAGAGAGUUCAUUUUAGUUCUUUAACUGAUGGGGAUAGCAACCCCAUAGGAAGACCAGCAGUGUCAACUAACCUGAACCCCUGGGAACUCCCAGAGAUUAAGCUGCCAACCAAAGAGCAUACAUGAACUUGUUCGAGGCCUGGGCUCAUGUGUAGUAGAGGACUGCCUUGUCUGCCUCAGUGGGAGAGGAUGCACCUAAUCCAGUAGAGACUUGAUACCCCAAGGAAAGGGGAUGCCCAGGGUCAGGGACACAGUCUCAGAGGCAAAUGAGGGGAUGCAUGGAAGAACUCUGUAAGGGGGCAUCAGGAGGGAGCAACAUUUGGGAUGUAAAUAAAUAAAAUAAUUAAUUAAAAAGAAUUUUAGUCCUUUAUUCCGGGUCAAGUACCCUUAAGGUUGUUGUAAAUUUAGCGAUAAAAUACAGGAUUAAGAAUUAUAUUGCUUUAACAAAAAGACCUUAAAAUUUAGUAGCUUUCCAUAUGGGAUGAUCUCAGUAUCUUUUGUUUUUGUUAUGAGACAGGCUUUCAUAUCUCUCUGCAUAGCCUUGAACUCAAUACUUAACUAACGAUGCCUCUGGACUUGACACUGUCCUCUCGGUGCAGGGAUUACAGGGACUCCCACCACUCCUAAUUGAUGUAGUGCUGGGGGUCAAAUGUAGAGUGACCCUUGUGCUAGGUGAGCCCUCCAUGAACUAAGCUACAUUCCAAUGUCCAGAUUUCUGUCAUUGCUACUAAGCAAAGUCCUUCCAUAGCACGUUCCUCCAUCUUUUUGGAUGACUGGAUUCAUCUCUGUGGGUUUUGUGUUUCCUUUUGCAGUUUGGAGGUGGGUCAGCAUGUUCACAUACAUCCUCAAGGCCUCUUGUCAGCCCACUCUAGUCUAGUUUACAGUUUUGGUUUAGCUCAAAUGAGCGGGGAAAGAAGUUUGGGGAAGAACGUGCUACCAGGCGAGGACGUGUAUUAGCCCCCAUUUCUAUUGACAAGCCUACUACAGAGACAUACCUCAUGUCUUCUUUCUAAGUCCUUUCAAAGCAACCUUUGAUGUUGUUUUGUUAUGGACUUAACACCAAGAGGCAGAAGUAAGUAAAAGUAAGUGUGGCUGGAAAAGGGGCAAGAGAGAUUGGUUAUGUGAUUGAGUGGGUGGGGCCGACUCUUGGUAUUGAUGUGAGCAGUUCUUGUGUAUCGGCCUUUGAGAUGCCAGGAAAAGUAUUGGAGAGGAUUUUUACCACCGAUUCCCGUUUUCUAAUUGUAAAAUGUCCACAGGCACUGCGCCUAAGAUGCUUUGUGUGGUACAUCUCGUUUGCUUUUUUCUUCACCCCCAAACAUGGUGAUGGAGAAUAUAGUCCUACAAGUUUGGGCCACUGUGUACCAUUGUGUGAUGACACAGCGAUCAAACGAGGGACAGGCUGUCGUUUCCAAGUUUCCCUUCUGCUUAUUUGUAGUAAACUUUGACCUCCAUUCAUUUCAACCUUUGUAACUUUGCUCUCUCUUAUAUGCUGCCUUUUUCAGAAUAUCAUAUACUGAGAAUCGUACCUUUAAUUCUAGCUGCUAGAUGGCUGGGCGUUAAAAUGUCCACAAAGACCUGUUUUGAAAAGCACCUGGAGGAUUUCUCCCACACUUGGUAAGUUUAACCUGAUGGGGACAUUUCAGAUUCAAACCAUAGAACCUUCCCAUCAACUAGAACAUUCUCUUGACUCCAGCAGGCAUUCACUGAAUGUAUCAUCACUGCAUUAUAAAACAAGAGCAUAGCAUGCAUGAGGGCAGGAAGCCUGUUCUUCUUUAGUCCCUCUGUGGUACAACCCCUCUCCUUUGGGAGCAAGAAAAAUUAUGAAGUUGCCUUCAUGGAGGUCUUUUUGGGAACCUUAACAUGAGUUUUUAAUGAUCAGCCGAAGUCCCCAGGAGUCAAGGGACUUUACCACUAAUGAGCCCCACCCGAUAAGCAGUCUUUGGCCUCUGAGCUGCCAAAGUGUAGACAGGCCAGAGAAGUAAAACUUUUAAGUCAGCCUUAUCUCUUGGUAUUUUGCCAACUCUGUGGAGGUCCUGGAUUGUGUCCCUUGCCUGGAGGCACCAACAUAGGUUUUCCCUAAAGGAAGCUCAAAUUCAUGCGGCCUUAGGUCGUCCCAGGAGAGAAAGAAGGAGAAGAUAAGCAAUUGUUCGAGAAGCACCUUAGGAAACUGUACUGGGGUGGCACCCUAAGAAGCUAAAAAGCAGGGUAAAGUAACCCCCGUCCUUUGCCUCUGCCUCCUACCAAAGUUGUACUUGCCAUGACAGAGAAUUUGAAAAUACCAUGCGUCAGAAGAAGAGUCUAAAAUUAUCCCCUCCUGUCAUUAAAAGAGUAACCGUUAGCAUAUCAGACCUAAGGUUUUGUGUUUUGGGGGAUAAAGAAAGCACACACCCACACACUCGUGCAUGCACGCAUGCUCACGAAUGAUCUUUGAGACCAGCCUAGCCACAUAAUUAAGCUCUAGAAACAUCUUACGUGUUAGUGGGAGAUUGCUUGCCAGUUCACUUCAAGUACCUGCAUUUGGUUUGGAAACAGAUUUAAAAAGUUGUCAGAGCUGGGCAUGGGGGUGGCAUAACCCUUUAAUCCCAGCACUCAGAAGGCAAAGGCAGGUGGAUCUCUGUGAGUUCAAGGCCAGCCUGGUCUACAAAGUGAGUCCAGGACAGCCAGGGUUGGUUGCACUGAGAAACUCCAUAUCGAAACAAAACAAAACAAAAGCAACAAAGCAAAACAAUGGCAACAAAAAGCAAAAUACAAUAACAAAGUUGUCAGACUACUUUUAUGUUUAAUUCUCUUGUUUUUCUAAUUAAUUAAUUAAUUAAUUGUGGAAAAAGUAUUAUCCCAGGUGCUUAGAGCAUGGACUCUAGUGUGGGUUUGAAGUCUGACUUCGGUCAUUGUUUUGGGGACGUAAGCCUAGGCCAGUGAUUUUAUAAGGCCGCGUCAUCAAAUAAGAGCAAUAGCUAAUUCAUGGGUCUUUUGAAAGGAUGCCUUUGGGUGGUCCAUGUGGCCCUUCAUGCACAGGAAAUUCUCUGUACAUAUUAUAUAUAAAAGCCUAGCUAAAGAAAAAUAAAACCUUCAAACCUACCUUCUAGAGAUAACAUGUUAAUUGUAAGGACACAUUUGUGUUUCUGUAACCAAUAGAUGGCAGGUACCUUCUCCUGACAAAAAAUGUAUAUUGCUCAAAAGUAUGUCAAAUAUGCUAAUGACCACAGAAAGUUCCACUGAUACAAAUAUGCCAGGAUUCUCUUGUGAAAGAAAAGAAAAUCACAGAAGGCACUGUAGAACACAAAGCCUCGGGCUUCUGCCCAGUCAAAUCCUCCCUGUGCGCGUUGGACGACACCAGUGUGGAAUAAUCUUGCCACAAACUUGGACUCUACAAUGUCAGGAAGGAUCUAAGAACCUCGUCCCGAUUGAUUUCCAAGCCGGAGCUGACCUUGAUUGUCCCAGGACGUCACCCUCACCUGAGCACUCUGCUCUUGACAUGGAGAAGAAACAAAAUUGGAAACAGUUGAAUUCCUCUGGCGGCUCCUGCUGACUAAGCAGGCGAGGGACCCCACUGCAGAGUUCAUGGUGGUUUUGGCAGAGCAGGAUUCCCUCCCGAGGUUCCAGCCUCCUGGGGGCCAGAUGAGGGGCGGGCUUGUUUACACAGCAUCUCAGACCAAACAGCUGGGGGACGGCAACCAUUUAAUUCUGCCCUGCUGACUUGAGAAGGAAUUUGGUUACACCACACAAGGGAGAGGCUUCCUCAGCUCAUUCCUCACUUUGUGUGUCUCUUCCUUUCCCCCCUUUCCUGUCUUAAAAUUUUCCUCCCCCUGUCUCUUUAUUACCCCUCUGCUCUUCCUUUUUCAACUUUCCCCUCUUUUCUUUACUUCCAAAACAAAGUGCUAUGGGAGGAUGCUUAAGACAGACAGAAGUCCUUUAUUUUUAGAGCCGGGAGAAUUUUUAUCCCCAAAGAUCUGUUAGUAAAAUAAAUGGGAUUAAUCUUUCUCAUUCGGGCAAAACAUGAACCUCACACUGGUCUUAGAGAUGCUGUUUUUGGAAAGAAAGGAUUGGGGUUCCUCAGGGAGUCUGACCCAGCUACACCAGUUGUAAAGUCCGCCCAUUUCCAAGCAAAGGAGAGGAAUUGGAGCCCAGCACAGGGUGGCUAAUUCUGAGGAGACUUUAUCCACAUACUGCCUGGGACGGAAAACCACAGCCUUAAUUAAAAUUUUCAAUUCAAUCCCAUUGUUUAUUAAGAAGGCAAUAGAGAGCCCAGGGGGUCAAAUAGACAAACCCCAACUCAGCCACUGAGAUGCUGUGUGUCUUCAAGAAUAUGACUCUUCCUCCGGAAGCCCACAGAGCUCUCCUUUUGGAGGUAAGACUAACCGGAGUGGGUGGACAUCUGUUUGGGUUGUGUGUCCCAGGUAUUUAGCAUAGAAGAGUGACCAGGAGAGGCAGUUUGGAGCCUUUGAGUGAUUCUUCAUUGUUCAGUGAGCUGUGGAUCCCUUCACUGAGUCACCAUUUCAGCCUUGCUCUCAUAAGGAAAAAACACACAUCUGUGUAUCAAAUGAGCUUGCUAAAAUAAAAGUGCAUACUGUCUGGAA